RNAcentral lists this long non-coding RNA (4238 nucleotides) under Homo sapiens (human). RNAcentral's name for it is "uncharacterized LOC105374809, transcript variant 10 (LOC105374809)". Lineage: Eukaryota; Metazoa; Chordata; Mammalia; Primates; Hominidae. The record is from RNAcentral.
AGAAUGAAGAUGGCUUCCUGUCCCGCUAGCGUCACGUCGGGAUCUGCCUUCACCAAGGCCUUCACUCGCGCCAGAGGCAACCUCGAGAGACGAGCCCCAGGCACACUCGUUGGGGCCUGGGGCUGCGAGGCCGCUGCCUCCCCAGCAGGCCAUUAUAACUACAUUCUUAGAAUGUGAUCCCUUUCAACAUUUCCUGCACCUCUGCUUCUGCACACUACCACCAAAAGACAAGAAAGGCAAGGAGACGUGACUGGAGCAAGAAAAACAGUGUUUUUCACACAAGGAUGUCCACUCCUUGUUGGGAAUGGCUUAAGAUCGACCUGGGAAAGCAAAACAUCGCCAUAUCAUUUGGAGGAAAGGCACUGGUUGGAAGAGCCUGUUGGCGUGGCAAAGCCAAGGUCUUUAAAGUCCUCAGAGAAGGCAGGCAUAGCCACCACUGGAGGACUUCCUGAUAUGUGGUACAGAGACUGAUGAGGGCAUGGGGUGACAACCUUAGGUGCCAACAGCAAGGGGAUGGAUAUACAGGGUAAAGGAGGCUUGCUGCCAUCCUACGCCUUUGAACGCCACAAAUCAGAGAUGGUACCAUGGAGGAACAUGAACAGGGUGAUGACAUCAAACUCAAUUCGGAGAGAGGAAAGGGUAGUUAUGAAGCAUGCUCCACUGGUGCUGCUGGAUAGUGAGGGUGGGCAGACUUGACGACCACCAGUCCAGGACCUAGACAGCCUGAAGACACGGGGGCCUGAAAAGGUAGUUGGGGAUGCCCAAAGAAUGCUAGUCCUGGUGCCAAUGCAGCAGACAGUCACCUUGUCUGUUGUCGAGUAAACAAGUGCCUCCUCUUGGGCCUGUGAUGCCUGCCAGCACAUGUCUUUCUCAGAGGUGGGCAUAUUCUCUAUUUGGGAAACAAUGGGUAGAGGGAUUGAAGCAGGAGAAGUUUCAGAGAAUCACUCUUGCAAGAGAUGCUGCACUCUGGCAGACUCGAUAAUGACAAAUAUGUCAAGCAACUGAGUUUCAGCAGGGUUCCUUCGGGCCUUGUUCACCAACUUGUGGUUUCCGUGGUGACAGGACAGCUGCCAGGUAGAUGGCGGCUUUGGGGCCACCUGACUGGCUCUGACGAUAACUGGCUUUGACAGCUUUGAUUGGAAUGAAAAGAUUUAGGGUCCCUACUGGCUUUCUUAAAUUAAACCCUCCCUCCUGGAGUUAGCUUGUUUAUCAACAUUAUCUUAGAUUAGGGGACUUUCUUGUGAUCAGAGAGUUCUUUUACCACGAUGGUUCACAUGUUGGGGCCACUGGCAGGGUUUCUGAGAUCAGGGUCCUCGGAGCAGCACAGAGAGGUAAGGCUACACCCUGAUGUGCUUCUCAGGCAAUGCCUCCAAGGGGCAUGUUAACAGUCAGAUCUAGUUAGGAAAGAAAACAGGAAAAGGACCUGCAUUUUAACAGAAAUAAUUUAAUCUAGGCAAUUGAGUAAGCAGGUAUUAGAGGCUGAAAGGCAAAAAGGAAGUAUCAAGAUAAACACAGGGAUGGUAACUGCCAGAGGCAGCUCUACCUCUGGGGCUGAAGAACACAGGGAAGAUACUGGGGUUGCAAUAAUUUCAAAGCUUGGAAGAGGAGCCCUGCGGAGCUGGGACCUAGGCUUCUAAGGAGCGGCGACUGCACAGUAUCUGUGAGGCUGGAUUUGAGAGUCCAGAAAAUGUUGAAGACUGGAACCCAUUGCUAUUGAGGUCCACCAGCAGGCACUGAACAAACACUUCAGCCCGCAUGCCCAAACUCUGUGUAAAGGCCGCUAAUAAGAGCCACCCCUUAGCUAUCCCUGAGGCCUCAGUGACCUCACCACAGACGGGACAGAUGGGAAGAGGUUCACACAGCCCUGGAAGAGGCUGGGACAUUUGAGCAGGGAAUUCUGGGCCCUGGGUUACGAACCAUGCACCAAAAGGAGGACUGGCCCUGGGUGGCACACAGACAAGGCCCAUGAACUUCUUGUCCUAUGGGGCGGGGCCAGCCCCACCAAGACCAGGGCAGGGCACCUAAAACCACAGCCCAGGGUUGCACCCUGAGAGAAUAAAAGAGACUACCGGGGCAGAGCGGAUCCUAGAAGGGAGAGGCACUAUGGGGCCAGCCUCUUUCUGAAGCCCCACCCAGAGAAGCACCCUUUGCUGGAAAAGAAAACAGCAGAAGCCAAGGUAAAUAACAUCUUUGUGUGGCGUGUUGCAGCUGUCACAGCCGCCAGCAGACAGCCGACUCCCUCACCAGUAAACACCGCGGCUUAGGUGUUGCCCACCGGGCACCGGAAGGCGGCCCCCUUCUCGCUCUCCAGUGAAUGUUCCUAAAACAACUGCGGGGUCCAAGAGCACAGGGAGAACAGCGCCCCUGACGCAGGCUGCGCACCCGCCCGGAGGAGGCAGUGCGUCAGUCCUGAGGUCACCGCCACCCGCUCCCGGGGGACGGCCGCCUGGGCAGGUGAGGAGGCGACCACCUCCCAGACGCCUGCCGGAGCUGCGGCGCACCGACUCCCUGCUUCUCCGAGCGGCGAGCGCCACCUGGAGGCUCCCUCGAGAUCUGCAUUUAGGAGGCGACGGGUCCUUUCAUCGUUUUAUUCAUUAAACAUUUAUCGAGGCCUGGAGCGAUGGUUCAAGCCUGUAAUCCCAGCACUUUGGGAGACCGAGACGGGCGGAUCACUUGAGGUCAGGAGUUGGAGACCAGCCUGGCCAACAUGGCGAAACCCCAUCUCUACUAAAAAUACAAAAAUUAGCCGGGCACGGUGGCGCACACCUGUAAUCCCAGCUACUCAUGAUGAGGCUGAGGCACAAGAAUCGCUUGAACCCGAGAGGCGGAAGUUGCAGUGAGCGGAGAUGGAGCCACUGUGUGUUAGGCUCUGGCGACGUGGGGAGAAAUAAAGAUAAUGUCUUGUUUCCCAGGGCAUUAAUAGCGUGAUGGGGAAGACAGGCCAUCAACAAUGUGCAACACUAAGGGCUAGGAAAGAGGUGGAUACAAAGGAGGGAAUAAGGAAUGUGGUCAUUCCUUAAGGUGUUUAUUGGUGCCAGGUACUGUUCAAGGCACCAAAAAGAAUGGAACCAAACAGAGAUCCUGCUCCCAAAGAGCUCAUAGUGGAAGGACAGCCAGACAAGCUUAGAAUUACGGGACAGGCCUAAGAAGGAGCCAGACUGGGGACCAGAGGCGUCCGAAGGGAAGUCCAGGAAGUACCGCAGGAAAACGUGAUAUAUAUUAAAUCUUAAAGAAUGGGCAGGAUUUUGCCAGGCUUAGUGACAAGAUAUCUUCCGUAAAAUCGUGGAACUGAAAAGAAAGGAUAUAGGUUGAAGAAGGGCUAGUUCUGUGUCUGAAAUAGAAGGAACAUGAAAGAGAAGUGCUGGGACAUGGGGCAAAAAAGGGAGUUUGGGGCCAGAUCGUGAAAGCCUUGGUUUAACAGGUGAAAAGUUCAAAUUUGAUCCAGGUAGCUGGCAGAGUCAGAGGUUCUAAAGCAGAGACCUGCUCUAUAGAAAGCUCACCAUGAAGUACAGCAGUGAUGGUGGAUGAAGAUACCAACAGCUCAACCUCCUAUGUGCCAGGGAAAUGCUGAGCGCUUAGCACCUGAUAUUUAUCUUAAUUCUCUAAAUGGGCCUAUGGGGUAAGCAUAUUAUUAUCCCAAUUUUAUUGGAAUACUUCCCUGGUAGGGCCCCUAAACAGGUAGCCAUCAAAUGCCUGAUAAAUUCCAGCUAGCUUUAAAUUCUAGUCGCUACAGAGCAGAGCCCUUCCAUCGCACUGAGCUGAAGGAGCCAGAUGGGCAUUACAGACAAGACCCACUCAGUAGGUGAAAUCAACAGAGCCUAAUGACUAUCUAGAUCUGCAAGAUGAAGAAUAGGAAAGAGCUAAAGACAAGAUUAUGAUGAAAAGUUUGAUUUUGAAAUAAUACAUUUUUAAGAGCUGAGAAAAACCGUAUCCAUCAUCCAGAACAACCGCCUAUUCUACCCACACUCCCAGCACCACAUCAGUACACGUGUGCCUGUACUCACCAUUCUGCCUUGCCUCCUGCUGGCAUGGACGAGUGCUGCGUGUUCCUAAGUGCCACCUUCCGCUGUGCACUCGAUCCCAUCCUCGCGCCCACGCAAGAACAUCGCUUCAUCAAUUGGUCCUUCUCUCACAUAUGAAAUUUUUGGUCUUUCUACUGAGUCAUUCCCAUAAAUAUACAUGUGUACUACAAUUUCUCUCAUCGUAAAAAAUAAUAAAAAUAUUUCCUUGACCUCAAA